GGGCCCGCACAAGCAGUGGAGCAUGUGGUUUAAUUCGAUGCAACGCGAAGAACCUUACCAGGCCUUGACAUCCUCGGAACUUUCUAGAGAUAGAAAGGUGCCUUCGGGAACGCAGUGACAGGUGCUGCAUGGCUGUCGUCAGCUCGUGUUGUGAAAUGUUGGGUUAAGUCCCGUAACGAGCGCAACCCUUGUCCUUAUUUGCCAGCACGUAAUGGUGGGAACUCUAAGGAGACUGCCGGUGACAAACCGGAGGAAGGUGGGGACGACGUCAAGUCAUCAUGGCCCUUACGGCCUGGGCUACACACGUGCUACAAUGGCUAGGACAGACGGCCGCAAACCCGUGAGGGGAGCCAAUCCGACAAACCUAGUCGUAGUCCGGAUCGGAGUCUGCAACUCGACUCCGUGAAGUCGGAAUUGCUAGUAAUCG
Molecule: ribosomal RNA, 427 nt
Filed under: uncultured bacterium
Lineage: Bacteria
Description: bacterial SSU rRNA
Rfam family: Bacterial small subunit ribosomal RNA
Source: RNAcentral